UACGGGGGGGGCAAGCGUUAAUCGGAAUUACUGGGCGUAAAGCGUGCGCAGGCGGUUCGUUGUGUCGGCGGUGAAAGCCCCGGGCUUAACCUGGGAAUGGCCGUUGAAACUGGCGAACUGGAGUGUGGCAGAGGGGGGUGGAAUUCCGCGUGUAGCAGUGAAAUGCGUAGAGAUGCGGAGGAACACCGAUGGCGAAGGCAGCCCCCUGGGCUAACACUGACGCUCAGGCACGAAAGCGUGGGGAGCAAACAGG
RNAcentral lists this ribosomal RNA (253 nucleotides) under uncultured bacterium. RNAcentral's name for it is "partial 16S ribosomal RNA". It matches the Rfam family "Bacterial small subunit ribosomal RNA", at positions 524 to 776 of the family's 1533-position model. The record is from RNAcentral.